CAAUAGCGUAUAUUAAAGUUGUUGCAGUUAAAAAGCUCGUAGUUGGACUUCUGCGGGUGGCGGCCGGUCGUGCUCGAAACGGGCGUGAACUUGGCGUGCUGCCCGCAUCUUUGGGGAGAUUGUGCGUGGCAUUAAGUUGUCGUGCAUGGGAUUCUCAUCAUUUACUGUGAAAAAAUUAGAGUGUUUAGAGCAGGCCUUUGCCUUGAAUACAUUAGCAUGGAAUAAUAAGAUAGGACCGUUGUCUAUUUUGUUGGUUUACAGAUGUCGGUAAUGAUUAAUAGGGAUAGUUGGGGGUAUUCGUAUUCAGUUGUCAGAGGUGAAAUUCUUGGAUUUUCGGAAGACGCACGACUGCGAAAGCAUUUACCAAGGAUGUUUUCAUUAA
This 382-nucleotide ribosomal RNA is filed under the name uncultured eukaryote. Its description in RNAcentral is "partial 18S ribosomal RNA". It matches the Rfam family "Eukaryotic small subunit ribosomal RNA", at positions 592 to 976 of the family's 1831-position model. The record is from RNAcentral.